RNAcentral lists this long non-coding RNA (783 nucleotides) under Rattus norvegicus (Norway rat). Its description in RNAcentral is "long non-coding RNA NONRATT022726". The record is from RNAcentral. Lineage: Eukaryota; Metazoa; Chordata; Mammalia; Rodentia; Muridae.
GGAGGUUCACAACCAUCCGUAACUCCAGUUCCAAAGGACCCAUCACCCUCUUCUUCUGACCUCCACAGACACCAGAUGAUACACUUGUAUGCAGGCAAAACACUCAUACAUUAAAAAAAAUAAAAAAAAGGCAACAACCAUAACAACCAAAACACAGUAAGCUAUGUAAAUGCUAACGUUCACCUGUGAGGCUGCUUGCCCAAGGACGGAUAACUUCCCCUGAUCGCUAGGGGCCAUUGUUCAUGGGAGAUAAUAAGUCGUGUGUUUCUGCUUCAGUAAACCAGAUUGGUUUGCCCCAACUACAUGGGAUGUUCUUGAUCACACAGGAAGUGUGUAGCCUUAUGUGUUUUGACUUUAUAGCACCCGACUGGCCUAAUUCAGACCUAUUCUCUGGGAAUCCCAGCUAUGGACCUGACCACUGUCCAUCUUCCUGUAUUUCAAUAAAGCUUGCAUUAAUUGGACCAUCACAGAUCUGGUCUUUCUCCCCACAAUUUUCAGGUUUAACAGUAACUGAAGAAGCCAGUGCAUAUGCACUACACACACACCCUCAGGCACAUGUGCACACACUCACACAAACAUGAACAUAAACACAAACCAAAGAGCCAGAGAUGCCUCAUUCCCUCGUGGCAAGCAAGAGACCGGUCCCAAGAAAGAUCUGGAACAUCAGAUUGCAAGGAAACACCAUGACCAAAACACCCUAUCCAUGGUCCCCCCGGGAGAACGCCAAACCUUCAAAUGUCACUCCAGUGUUUGUGAUGAGUGCUACCCAGGGAAGCCCUCCUU